RNAcentral lists this ribosomal RNA (253 nucleotides) under uncultured bacterium. RNAcentral's name for it is "partial 16S ribosomal RNA". It matches the Rfam family "Bacterial small subunit ribosomal RNA", at positions 524 to 776 of the family's 1533-position model. The record is from RNAcentral.
UACGAAGGGGGCUAGCGUUACUCGGAUUGACUGGGCGUAAAGGGCGCGUAGGCGGAUGGUACAGUCAGACGUGAAAUUCCUGGGCUCAACCUGGGGGCUGCGUUUGAUACGUGCUGUCUGGAGUUCGGAAGAGGGUCGUGGAAUUCCCAGUGUAGAGGUGAAAUGCGUAGAUAUCGGGAGGAACACCAGUGGCGAAGGCGACUACCUGGCCUGUUCUUGACGCUGAGGCGCGAAAGCUAGGGGAGCAAACGGG